This 695-nucleotide unclassified non-coding RNA is filed under the name Hevea brasiliensis (rubber tree). The record is from RNAcentral. Lineage: Eukaryota; Viridiplantae; Streptophyta; Magnoliopsida; Malpighiales; Euphorbiaceae.
GAUAUCCUUAAUAUUGCAGUUAAUAUUAAAAGUUGAUGUGAUCAUGUGAAUGUAGAUGUUCACAAAGCCCCAUAUUAUUUCUAGAAUUUUCAUAAUUUGGAGAAUUCUUUUUAACUAUGUUCAUUAAAUUGAAACAGAAAAGAAGAAUCUCACUAAAUAUAUUUCUUGGAUUUUUUUUUUUAAUAUUAAUGUGGCUCCAAAUUAAUCCGGGUUCUGUGUUACCACCCUUCGCAACUCUUCACCGAAUUUGUAAUUUAGCAAAAUGGAGGAUGGAGUUCAAUUUGUGUCACUUUUGCGACCAACUCACAGAUUUGUUUAGCACUUAAAUUUGCAACCAGGACUAGACUGUAGGACAUCUUUUUAAAUUCUCUGGAAAUUAUUACUUUGUUUCUUUCUCAAGUGUUGUCUUAUUGCAGACUUACCGAGGCUUGUGCAAUGCCAGUAUAUUCAGUCAGAGUUGUGUCUAAAAUGAAGCUACAUUGUCUAGAUCAAUAUCUCUUUGGGAAAAUAAGCCCUUAAAGUGUAGUUGUUUGUUUUAGGCAUCCUUUUGGCUCCUGUUAUGUGUUAACAAAUCAAAAGCCUUAAAGUUAUUCUUAGACUUUGUUUGAAUGCAUUCAUGUAUUUUUUUUUUAAUCAAAGAUCAUUUUCCGAGCCUUUUAUUCCAUAUAGAUGAGGAAAUCUUAUUAAUGUUUCCA